Molecule: non-coding RNA, 25 nt
Filed under: Mus musculus (house mouse)
Lineage: Eukaryota; Metazoa; Chordata; Mammalia; Rodentia; Muridae
Source: RNAcentral
UCACUGCUGAAUUGGGGGAAGGGUG